GGGAGACAAAAGGGAGGUGUGUGUCAGGGGAGGGGGGAGAGGCAAUUUACCUUUCGCAAUUGAUUGGUGUUGUUUGAGCAGGAAUGCUAGGCGGCCAAGUUGGCCUGCGCCGCUAACCCCCGUGAUGCCGAUAAUCUCAUAAAGUGGGGGAGUGCGCUUCUGAAUCUAUCAUCUUUUCAGAAAAAAAAAAAACCUCGAGGAUAUGGUGAAAGAAGCCAUAAUGAAACUGGAACAAGCCUUGGAGGUGGAUCCUAAAAGGCAUGCCACAGUAUUCAUCUUGGGGAAUGCCCAUAGUCAGCAAGGGUUCUUCAACCCUAAUGAACAGGUUGCUUUAGGUUGCUUGGACAAGGCAACUCAGUGCUUCGAGCAUGCUAUGAAAUUGGCACCUGAGUUGUGCCAAGAAAUCCAAUUCCAUAUGGCUAAUCAACAAGCUUCCCAGGAGACAGCUUCCCCUAUUAGAUAGAAGGAAAAAUUCAAUAGGAAAAAGGUGCUUGCUUGACUUUGGGGUAUGCUACAGCCCAGUACUGCCCUAAUAUAAAUCCGUCUCUACUGCCCUAAUAUAAAUCUGUCUCUGGUUCUGCCCUAUUUUUCUUGGUACAUUUAAUUGUAGUACUGCUUGUGCUAGGAAUAUUUGUCUAAACUAUGGACUAGAAUUGUAUCAAUAUCAAAUUUCAGCUUCAGAAGUAGAAGCAUAAACUUCAAACUUCAGUUUAGACUGCAUAAGAUGGUUUUGUCCAUCAGUAGAUUCUUUGUUUCUUAAU
This is a long non-coding RNA of Zingiber officinale, 761 nucleotides long. RefSeq lists it as uncharacterized. The transcript is spliced from 5 exons. Lineage: Eukaryota; Viridiplantae; Streptophyta; Magnoliopsida; Zingiberales; Zingiberaceae. The record is from RefSeq and is a predicted model, not a curated record.